This 301-nucleotide ribosomal RNA is filed under the name uncultured bacterium. RNAcentral describes it as "partial 16S ribosomal RNA". It matches the Rfam family "Bacterial small subunit ribosomal RNA", at positions 509 to 807 of the family's 1533-position model. The record is from RNAcentral.
CAGCCGCCACGGGAAUACCGAGGGUGCAAGCGUUAAUCGGAAUUACUGGGCGUAAAGCGCGCGUAGGUGGUUUGUUAAGUUGGAUGUGAAAUCCCCGGGCUCAACCUGGGAACUGCAUCCAAAACUGGCAAGCUAGAGUAUGGUAGAGGGUGGUGGAAUUUCCUGUGUAGCGGUGAAAUGCGUAGAUAUAGGAAGGAACACCAGUGGCGAAGGCGACCACCUGGACUGAUACUGACACUGAGGUGCGAAAGCGUGGGGAGCAAACAGGAUUAGAUACCCGAGUAGUCCCUGUCUCUUAUAC